GAUCCUGGCUUAGGAUGAACGCUAGCUACAGGCUUAACACAUGCAAGUCGAGGGGCAGCAUGGUCUUAGCUUGCUAAGAUUGAUGGCGACCGGCGCACGGGUGAGUAACGCGUAUCCAACCUUCCCUAUAGUAGGGGAUAGCCCGUAGAAAUGCGGAUUAAUACCCUAUGUUGUAUUUUGAGGACAUCUGACGAACACCAAAGGUUUACCGCUAUAGGAUGGGGAUGCGUCUGAUUAGGUAGUCGGCGGGGUAACGGCCCACCGAGCCAACGAUCAGUAGGGGUUCUGAGAGGAAGGUCCCCCACAUUGGAACUGAGACACGGUCCAAACUCCUACGGGAGGCAGCAGUGAGGAAUAUUGGUCAAUGGGCGAGAGCCUGAACCAGCCAAGUAGCGUGCCAGGAUGACGGCCCUAUGGGUUGUAAACUGCUUUUAUGCGGGGAUAAAGUGAGGGACGUGUCCCUUAUUGUAGGUACCGCAUGAAUAAGGACCGGCUAAUUCCGUGCCAGCAGCUGC
This 515-nucleotide ribosomal RNA is filed under the name uncultured bacterium. Its description in RNAcentral is "bacterial SSU rRNA". It matches the Rfam family "Bacterial small subunit ribosomal RNA", at positions 15 to 518 of the family's 1533-position model. The record is from RNAcentral.